UAGAAAAAACAACUCAUUAUUAAAAAUCUAACAAGUGAGCUUUGUUGCUGAAACAGAAACUGACAGUUAUCACCCAAAGUUUCCUUGUAGAGCAGCGAAAUGUACAAAGUAUUCGUAAUUAAACUGAGCCGAAAAUGAUCAAAGGCUAUGCCGUCUAGCUUAAGAAAAUAGAAACGUUUAACAGUAACAUGAAAACAAUGUCCGCUCUAGCUCGUUGGCAGUUUACACUCAUUGAAAGAACUAACAAAACAUAGAAAAUAACUUUGAUACUCACGUAAUAUUCUCCCCUCGUCUUCAUAAAAGAGCCACCACUGCAGCACACAUAUCACAACAGACGAAAUCCCCAAGGUCUCGAUGGCCAUUGAUGUUGAGAUGCUGCCUAAUGAGGAGUUGGUGAAAGGUAUGCUUGAAGCAGUUGCUGCUGCUGUCCUUGGUGUCAAAAUUCCAUAGACUCAAACAGUUACACACACAAGAAGUAUUCCAUGACAACACCAGCACCACAGACAGCAUGGAACAGCUGGACUUCACCACAGCAUUCAGCAUUUCAGCCAGUCUGCAACAAACCAUAAUCACUAUAGAAAGCACUGCAGAAUUUCAAGAUUGCCGCUGGAUAAUUAACCUAUUUGAAAAA
Long non-coding RNA from Daphnia pulex (common water flea), 631 nucleotides. RefSeq lists it as uncharacterized. The transcript has 3 exons. NCBI's taxonomy places the organism in Eukaryota, Metazoa, Arthropoda, Branchiopoda, Diplostraca, Daphniidae. The record is from RefSeq and is a predicted model, not a curated record.